RNAcentral lists this ribosomal RNA (429 nucleotides) under Pseudomonadota bacterium. RNAcentral's name for it is "Proteobacteria bacterium partial 16S ribosomal RNA". It matches the Rfam family "Bacterial small subunit ribosomal RNA", at positions 355 to 776 of the family's 1533-position model. The record is from RNAcentral. Lineage: Bacteria; Pseudomonadati; Pseudomonadota.
UGGGGAAUAUUGGACAAUGGGCGAAAGCCUGAUCCAGCCAUGCCGCGUGUGUGAAGAAGGUCUUCGGAUUGUAAAUCACUUUAAGUUGGGAGGAAGGGCAGUAAGCGAAUACCUUGCUGUUUUGACGUUACCGACAGAAUAAGCACCGGCUAACUCUGUUCCAGCAGCCGCGGUAAUACAGAGGGUGCAAGCGUUAAUCGGAAUUACUGGGCGUAAAGCGCGCGUAGGUGGUUCGUUAAGUUGAAUGUGAAAGCCCCGGGCUCAACCUGGGAACUGCAUCCAAAACUGGCGAGCUAGAGUAGGGCAGAGGGUGGUGGAAGUUCCUGUGUAGCGGUGAAAUGCGUAGAUAUAGGAAGGAACACAAGUGGCGAAGGCGACCACCUGGGCGCAUACUGACACUGAGGUGCGAAAGCGUGGGGAGCAAACAGG